RNAcentral lists this ribosomal RNA (468 nucleotides) under uncultured bacterium. Its description in RNAcentral is "partial 16S ribosomal RNA". It matches the Rfam family "Bacterial small subunit ribosomal RNA", at positions 28 to 507 of the family's 1533-position model. The record is from RNAcentral.
GACGAACGCUGGCGGCGUGCUUAACACAUGCAAGUCGAACGGAAAGGCCCUGCUUUUGUGGGGUGCUCGAGUGGCGAACGGGUGAGUAACACGUGAGUAACCUGCCCUUGACUUUGGGAUAACUUAAGGAAACUGGGGCUAAUACCGGAUAGGAGCUCCUGCUGCAUGGUGGGGGUGGGAAAGUUUCGGCGGUUGGGGAUGGACUCGCGGCUUAUCAGCUUGUUGGUGGGGUAGUGGCUUACCAAGGCUUUGACGGGUAGCCGGCCUGAGAGGGUGACCGGCCACAUUGGGACUGAGAUACGGCCCAGACUCCUACGGGAGGCAGCAGUGGGGAAUAUUGCACAAUGGGCGGAAGCCUGAUGCAGCAACGCCGCGUGCGGGAUGACGGCCUUCGGGUUGUAAACCGCUUUCGCCUGUGACGAAGCGUGAGUGACGGUAAUGGGUAAAGAAGCACCGGCUAACUACGUG